This 245-nucleotide long non-coding RNA is filed under the name Gallus gallus (chicken). The record is from RNAcentral. Lineage: Eukaryota; Metazoa; Chordata; Aves; Galliformes; Phasianidae.
UGAAUGAGGAAGAAAAUGAAAAACCCUCUUGCUUUACAUUUUGAGCUCUUAAGGCAAAUGUCACGAUGCCAGCUGUGAUGAGUAGAUAUGCUGCUAUUGUCUACCAUGAAUUAUUGCCUGGGGAUGUACAGGAGAUGGGGAGAUAUUUGACUGCAUCCCCUCUGAUUAUAGCAGUGAGCAAGGCAAAUGGAUGGAAUACAGAUGAGAGAAGUAAUUGAAGCCAUGUUCCUCCAAGGCAUUUAAGC